Molecule: ribosomal RNA, 442 nt
Filed under: Cepora nerissa (common gull)
Lineage: Eukaryota; Metazoa; Arthropoda; Insecta; Lepidoptera; Pieridae
Description: partial 16S ribosomal RNA
Source: RNAcentral
UGUAUAUUGACUGUACAAGGUAGCAUAGUCAUUAGUCUUUUAAUUGGAAACUUGUAUGAAUGAUUUGAUGAAAUAUAAACUGUCUCUUUAUUAAUAAUAGAAUUUAAUUUUUUAGUUAAAAAGCUAAAAUUUUUAUAAAAGACGAGAAGACCCUAUAGAGUUUAAUUUUUUAAUUUUUGUAAAUAUUAUAUAAAAAUUAUAAUUUAUAAAAAUUAAAAAUUUUGUUGGGGUGAUAGAAAAAUUUAAAAAACUUUUUUUAAAAAUUAAUAAUUUAUGAAUUUUUGAUCCAUAAUUUGAUUAAAAGAUUAAAUUACCUUAGGGAUAACAGCGUAAUAUUUUUUUUUUUAGUUCAAAUAAAAAAAAAAGUUUGCGACCCCGAUGUUGGAUUAAAAAAAAAUUUAAAUGGAAAAGUUUAAAAUUUUGAUCUGUUCGAUCAUUAAAU